AAUGCAACUAAAACAUACCGAUUCGAACGCCUCAAUAAUCGUGCUCCAAGGAGUGUACGCAUGUAUAUAUAAGUGCAUGCAUGUGUACGUAUUGUUUCUUCUAAGGAGUGAUUUGUUGUGUUAGGUAUUUAUAGGGUCUCAGUGGUGUAGAGAUCUAACCUCAAUUUUCAUGGCCAUUGUAGGGUGCAAUGGGGCAAUGGCAUAUGCUUAAGGACAUGCUUCGUCUAGAUGAUACGUUGAAAGAGAAAGAGGCGAAGGAUGCGUAAAUCUACCACAUGUAAACUUUCGAUUAUUUGGUAGAGUGUCGAUGAGUGGUAAGAGGUGACCACUCAUAUAUUCUCUCUAACAUUUUUAAAUCUAUGUCUUUUGAUAAUUUUUAAGAGCUAAUAUUCUGGACACACUGAUUGAUUUUGUCAUUCGUUAAAAGUCAAGAUAAAUUCGAACUACUGCUAUAAUUGGUGGAAUCCGAUUCUG
RNAcentral lists this long non-coding RNA (474 nucleotides) under Ananas comosus (pineapple). Its description in RNAcentral is "long non-coding RNA (ACOM_LNC024891)". The record is from RNAcentral. Lineage: Eukaryota; Viridiplantae; Streptophyta; Magnoliopsida; Poales; Bromeliaceae.